Molecule: transfer RNA, 84 nt
Filed under: Oceanibacterium hippocampi
Lineage: Bacteria; Pseudomonadati; Pseudomonadota; Alphaproteobacteria; Sneathiellales; Sneathiellaceae
Description: Sneathiella sp. BFLP-8 tRNA
Rfam family: tRNA
About the family: Transfer RNA (tRNA) molecules are approximately 80 nucleotides in length. Their secondary structure includes four short double-helical elements and three loops (D, anti-codon, and T loops). Further hydrogen bonds mediate the characteristic L-shaped molecular structure. tRNAs have two regions of fundamental functional importance: the anti-codon, which is responsible for specific mRNA codon recognition, and the 3' end, to which the tRNAs corresponding amino acid is attached (by aminoacyl-tRNA synthetases). tRNAs cope with the degeneracy of the genetic code in two manners: having more than one tRNA (with a specific anti-codon) for a particular amino acid; and 'wobble' base-pairing, i.e. permitting non-standard base-pairing at the 3rd anti-codon position.
Source: Rfam by way of RNAcentral
GCCCCUGUGGCGGAAUUGGUAGACGCGGCAGACUCAAAAUCUGUUGCCGGCAACGGCGUGCUGGUUCGAGUCCGGCCAGGGGCA